AUGGCGUCGCAGGUGAUCGGGGUGAACAGGGAGGGGGCGGAGGUGUACCACGGCGCGGCGCAGUGCGCAGAGAAGGCGGUGGAGCUGCUGGCCGAGACGAACAUGCCGCUGGGCCUGCUGCCGCUGGCGGACAUUGAGGAGGUCGGCUACAACCGCUCCACGGGCUUCGUGUGGCUGCGCCAAAAGAAGGCGCUCACGCACACCUUCAAGCAGAUCGGGAGGCUGGUCUCGUACGCCACCGAGGUGACGGCCUUUGUCGAGGACCGCAAGAUGAAGUGCAUCACGGGGGUCAAGAGCAAGGAGCUCCUCAUCUGGGUCACCGUCUGCGACAUGUACAUCGACAAGAACGACCACUCAAAGAUCACGUUCAAGACGCCCACCGGACUGGGAAGGACCUUCCCCGUCUCCGCCUACGGAAAGGAGGACGACAACAAGCACGACCUGGCCAAAUAA
Molecule: ribosomal RNA, 453 nt
Filed under: Triticum aestivum (bread wheat)
Lineage: Eukaryota; Viridiplantae; Streptophyta; Magnoliopsida; Poales; Poaceae
Description: partial small subunit ribosomal RNA
Source: RNAcentral